Molecule: ribosomal RNA, 429 nt
Filed under: Verrucomicrobiota bacterium
Lineage: Bacteria; Pseudomonadati; Verrucomicrobiota
Description: Verrucomicrobia bacterium partial 16S ribosomal RNA
Rfam family: Bacterial small subunit ribosomal RNA
Source: RNAcentral
UAGGGAAUCUUCGGCAAUGGGGGGAACCCUGACCGAGCAACGCCGCGUGAGUGAAGAAGGUUUUCGGAUCGUAAAGCUCUGUUGUUAAGGAAGAACGAGUGUGAGAAUGGAAAGUUCAUGCUGUGACGGUACUUAACCAGAAAGGGACGGCUAACUACGUGCCAGCAGCCGCGGUAAUACGUAGGUCCCGAGCGUUGUCCGGAUUUAUUGGGCGUAAAGCGAGCGCAGGCGGUUAGAAAGUCUGAUGUGAAAGCCCACGGCUCAACCGUGGAGGGUCAUUGGAAACUAAUAAACUUGAGUGCAGGAGAGAAAAGUGGAAUUCCUAGUGUAGCGGUGAAAUGCGUAGAGAUUAGGAGGAACACCGGUGGCGAAAGCGGCUUUUUGGCCUGCAACUGACACUGAGGCGCGAAAGCGUGGGGAGCAAACAGG